GUUCUUGUAGUUGAAUUACGACAACAGUUUUUCAAGCUGUAGGUCUAGGUUAAGUCCCUAGCAGGAAUA
This 69-nucleotide transfer RNA is filed under the name Rana amurensis. RNAcentral's name for it is "tRNA-Glu". It matches the Rfam family "tRNA". Rfam says of the family: Transfer RNA (tRNA) molecules are approximately 80 nucleotides in length. Their secondary structure includes four short double-helical elements and three loops (D, anti-codon, and T loops). Lineage: Eukaryota; Metazoa; Chordata; Amphibia; Anura; Ranidae. The record is from RNAcentral.